UCUUUCUUUUUUUUUUUUUUUGGGGACCUUUCUGUUACCUUGGAUUGAAUCUGUAGUGCUGGUUUAUUCUUUGUGUAAAUAAUUACGUUCAACACUUGAAACAGUUCCCUCCAUUUCUGUGUGGUGAACUUUCUAUCUUCUUUCUGUUUCCCUCUUUUUUGAUUUACUUCUGUUGGCAUCAAUGAGUAUGAGUACAUAAAUCAGUCUCUUGG
Molecule: unclassified non-coding RNA, 212 nt
Filed under: Hevea brasiliensis (rubber tree)
Lineage: Eukaryota; Viridiplantae; Streptophyta; Magnoliopsida; Malpighiales; Euphorbiaceae
Source: RNAcentral